This 483-nucleotide ribosomal RNA is filed under the name uncultured bacterium. RNAcentral's name for it is "partial 16S ribosomal RNA". It matches the Rfam family "Bacterial small subunit ribosomal RNA", at positions 28 to 507 of the family's 1533-position model. The record is from RNAcentral.
GACGAACGCUGGCGGCGUGCUUAACACAUGCAAGUCGAACGAUGAAGCGGGUGCUUGCACUCGUGGACGAGUGGCGAACGGGCGAGUAACACGUGGGUAACUGGUCCUUUUCUUUGGGUUAACUGCUGGAAACGGCGGCUAUUACUGGAUAUUCCGCCUGCAUCGCGUGGGGUGGUUUGGAAAGUUGUUUUCUGGGAUUGGGGGGGCUCGCGGUCUGUCAGCUGGUUGGUGGGGUGAUGGCUAACCAAGGCGUUGACGGGUAGCCGGCCUGAGAGGGUGGUCGGUCGCACUGGCACUGAGAUACGGCCUAGACUACGACGCAGGGCAGCAGUGGGGACUAUUGCGGAAAGGAUGAAAGAGUGAUGCAGCGACGGCGCGGGCAGCGUGUCGGCCGUAGGGUUGUGCACUCCGUUGUGAAGCGCAAAAGGCUCAGAUGUGGCGGUGUUGAUGGUAGUGGGGGAAGAAGCGCCGGCUAACUACGUG